This 254-nucleotide ribosomal RNA is filed under the name uncultured bacterium. RNAcentral's name for it is "partial 16S ribosomal RNA". It matches the Rfam family "Bacterial small subunit ribosomal RNA", at positions 524 to 777 of the family's 1533-position model. The record is from RNAcentral.
GACGAACCGUGCGAACGUUAUUCGGAAUCACUGGGCUUAAAGCGUGUGUAGGCGGAUCGGUAAGUACCUUGUGAAAUCCCACAGCUUAACUGUGGAACUGCUUGGUAUACUGCCGGUCUUGAGCCAGCUAGGGGCUACCGGAACAAAUGGUGGAGCGGUGAAAUGCGUAGAUAUCAUUUGGAACGCCAAUGGUGAAAACAGGUAGCUGGGGCUGUGCUGACGCUGAGACACGAAAGCCAGGGGAGCAAACGGGG